RNAcentral lists this ribosomal RNA (305 nucleotides) under uncultured bacterium. RNAcentral's name for it is "bacterial SSU rRNA". It matches the Rfam family "Bacterial small subunit ribosomal RNA", at positions 333 to 654 of the family's 1533-position model. The record is from RNAcentral.
GGGUUCCUAUGGGGCGCAGCAGUGGGGAAUAUUGCGCAAUGGGGGCAACCCUGACGCAGCAACGCCGCGUGAUUGAAGAAGGCCUUCGGGUUGUAAAGAUCUUUAAUCAGGGACGAAAAAUGACGGUACCUGAAGAAUAAGCUCCGGCUAAAUACGUGCCAGCAGCCGCGGUAAUACGUAUGGAGCAAGCGUUAUCCGGAUUUACUGGGUGUAAAGGGAGCGCAGACGGCAGGGCAAGUCUGAUGUGAAAGUCCGGGGCUCAACCCCGGGACUGCAUUGGAAACUGUCCGGCUAGAGUGCAGGAG